RNAcentral lists this ribosomal RNA (450 nucleotides) under uncultured bacterium. RNAcentral's name for it is "bacterial SSU rRNA". It matches the Rfam family "Bacterial small subunit ribosomal RNA", at positions 28 to 507 of the family's 1533-position model. The record is from RNAcentral.
GAUGAACGCUGGCGGCGUGCCUAACACAUGCAAGUCGAGCGAUUUACUUCGGUAAAGAGCGGCGGACGGGUGAGUAACGCGUGGGUAACCUGCCCUGUACACACGGAUAACAUACCGAAAGGUAUGCUAAUACGAGAUAAUAUACUUUUAUCUCAUGGUAGAAGUAUCAAAGCUCUGGCGGUACAGGAUGGACCCGCGUCUGAUUAGCUAGUUGGUAAGGUAACGGCUUACCAAGGCGACGAUCAGUAGCCGACCUGAGAGGGUGAUCGGCCACAUUGGAACUGAGACACGGUCCAAACUCCUACGGGAGGCAGCAGUGGGGAAUAUUGCACAAUGGGCGAAAGCCUGAUGCAGCAACGCCGCGUGAGCGAUGAAGGCCUUCGGUCGUAAGCUCUGUCCUCAGGAAGAUAAUGACGGUACUUGAGGAGGAAGACCCCGGCUAACUACGUG